CCUACGGGAGGCAGCAGUGGGGAAUUUUGGACAAUGGGCGAAAGCCUGAUCCAGCAAUGCCGCGUGAGUGAAGAAGGCCUUCGGGUUGUAAAGCUCUUUUGUCAGGGAAGAAACGGUGGGAGCUAAUAUCUCUUGCUAAUGACGGUACCUGAAGAAUAAGCACCGGCUAACUACGUGCCAGCAGCCGCGGUAAUACGUAGGGUGCAAGCGUUAAUCGGAAUUACUGGGCGUAAAGCGUGCGCAGGCGGUUUUGUAAGUCUGAUGUGAAAUCCCCGGGCUCAACCUGGGAAUUGCAUUGGAGACUGCAAGGCUAGAAUCUGGCAGAGGGGGGUAGAAUUCCACGUGUAGCAGUGAAAUGCGUAGAUAUGUGGAGGAACACCGAUGGCGAAGGCAGCCCCCUGGGUCAAGAUUGACGCUCAUGCACGAAAGCGUGGGGAGCAAACAGGAUUAGAUACCCUGGUAGUCCACGCCCUAAACGAUGUCUACUAGUUGUCGGGUCUUAAUUGACUUGGUAACGCAGCUAACGCGUGAAGUAGACCGCCUGGGGAAGUCGGUUGCAAGAUUAAAACGUCAAAGAGUUAGUCGGACGNGNGAGAGCGACGACGACGACGAGGAGGAGGAGG
RNAcentral lists this ribosomal RNA (623 nucleotides) under uncultured bacterium. RNAcentral describes it as "bacterial SSU rRNA". It matches the Rfam family "Bacterial small subunit ribosomal RNA", at positions 338 to 956 of the family's 1533-position model. The record is from RNAcentral.